This 256-nucleotide ribosomal RNA is filed under the name uncultured marine bacterium. RNAcentral's name for it is "partial 16S ribosomal RNA". It matches the Rfam family "Bacterial small subunit ribosomal RNA", at positions 95 to 353 of the family's 1533-position model. The record is from RNAcentral.
GCGGCGGACGGGUGAGUAAUGCUUAGGAAUCUGCCUAUGUAGUGGGGGACAACAUCUCGAAAGGGAUGCUAAUACCGCAUACGUCCUACGGGAGAAAGCAGGGGAUCUUCGGACCUUGCGCUAAUAGAUGAGCCUAAGUCGGAUUAGCUAGUUGGUGGGGUAAAGGCCUACCAAGGCGACGAUCUGUAGCGGGUCUGAGAGGAUGAUCCGCCACACUGGGACUGAGACACGGCCCAGACUCCUACGGGAGGCAGCA